AAACCCCGAGAUAUUAUUACUACGAAGGAUAAACAAAGAUCAAGGGUUUUUUUGUGCAGAAUAAGAAACGGCGGGUCAAUCUUUGAUCAAGCCCCCUUAGAUACAAAGGCCUGCCCGCUUGACUGACAUUCGGUUCAAAUCAUUUUAUCGAUAUGAGUGUUCUAUAUCAGAUAAAUUACCAACUAUUCAUUUUUAAACCAUUUCGGUACGUUAGA
Molecule: long non-coding RNA, 215 nt
Filed under: Phoenix dactylifera (date palm)
Lineage: Eukaryota; Viridiplantae; Streptophyta; Magnoliopsida; Arecales; Arecaceae
Description: long non-coding RNA (PDAC_LNC016444)
Source: RNAcentral